This 434-nucleotide ribosomal RNA is filed under the name uncultured bacterium. RNAcentral describes it as "partial 16S ribosomal RNA". It matches the Rfam family "Bacterial small subunit ribosomal RNA", at positions 29 to 507 of the family's 1533-position model. The record is from RNAcentral.
AGCGAACGCUGGCGGCAGGCCUAACACAUGCAAGUCGAACGAACCUUUCGGGGUUAGUGGCGGACGGGUGAGUAACACGUGGGAACAUGCCUUUAGGUUCGGAAUAACUCAGGGACACUUGUGCUAAUACCGAAUGUGCCCUUCGGGGGCAAGAUUUAUCGCCUUUAGAGCGGCCCGCGUCUGAUUAGCUAGUUGGUUGAGGUAAUGGCUCACCAAGGCGACGAUCAGUAGCUGGUCUGAGAGGAUGAUCAGCCACAUUGGGACUGAGACACGGCCCAAACUCCUACGGGAGGCAGCAGUGGGGAAUCUUGCGCAAUGGGCGAAAGCCUGAAGCAGCCAUGCCGCGUGAAUGAUGAAGGUCUUAGGAUUGUAAAAUUCUUUCACCGGGGACGAUAAUGACGGUACCCGGAGAAGAAGCCCCGGCUAACUUCGUG